UUUAGAAUUCCAAAUAUGGGAUGAACAUUGAACAUUGUCCAGGUUGUAGACAAAUUCAGACUCCUUUUUUAUUGCUACAAUUUGAACUUAAAAGUAGUAGUAUUGAGUCUUGAGAUAUUCAUGAAUAUUUUAGGCCUGUAUUUUAUCUUUCUAUA
This is a non-coding RNA of Populus trichocarpa (black cottonwood), 155 nucleotides long. The record is from Rfam. NCBI's taxonomy places the organism in Eukaryota, Viridiplantae, Streptophyta, Magnoliopsida, Malpighiales, Salicaceae.